GUAGUUUCUUUGUAACCGCUUUCUUUGUUGCAUUUCUAAUGUGCCUUAUAUCCUGAUAGGAGCACUCUGAUGUAAACAGAGACUGGAGAGUUUCCUGAGCACAGUCUGUGGGCUAGGCUGUGUAUUGCUCUCUAAGCAAUGACAACAAGGAAUUAAGGCCCUAUCAUGCUCCAGAUUAGAGGGUGACAAAGGGAAGAAUUUAGAUGUAAUACC
This is a non-coding RNA of Pelobates cultripes (western spadefoot toad), 213 nucleotides long. NCBI's taxonomy places the organism in Eukaryota, Metazoa, Chordata, Amphibia, Anura, Pelobatidae. The record is from the annotation of a GenBank genome assembly.